GCCAAGUUUGACAGAGCCUGAGGCAGCAAUGGAGAGGCUGUCCCUGAGGUAGUGUCCCAGCAUUGCGUUCUGCUCACGGCGGAUUUGUGUAGUUGAGAAAGCCGUUGAAAAGACCUCAUAGUGUUUUCUCCAUGGGUGUCCACGUGGCCUGGCAGCUCCUGGGGAGAGGAAGCAGCGGCAGCUGGGGGGAUGGCUGCCUGCACCGGGAGAGGAACAGGAACCUGGAACUGUUCUCACUGGCAGGCCAGAAGACUGAGCUUGAGAGAAUGCAAGCUGUCCGGGGCAGCUGGACCAGGUAGCCAUCUUGAUUCUGUGUGUGAUGCGCCACUGACUGGCUCCUGCCCAGGCUGACAGAACCGGUCCCCCAUACAGGUUUCAGAGGCUGACAUCAUCUUUUCAAAGAGCACUCUCUGGUGUGGAAGCCCACAGAGACCUGCCUUGCUGCUUGUGAUGAAGGAAGAGGAGCUUGAGGCCAGAGCACAGAGGACACCUGCUCCCAGCUGUGCACAUGGUCACCAAGCUGUCACCAAGCUUCUCAUGCCCCCCACUCCCACCUGUGCCCCAGCAGGCAUGGCGUGCACUGACACUUGGUUGGGGGAAAGGUAGGAUGCGACCUCAGAAUUCAGGUCAGCAUAUUCUAAGGGGGUGCUGCUCUGAACAGGGGAUACUUCUGAAAAAGUGGGGAGAAAAGAGAGACACCAGAGCUGGGACAUACUUAGUCUCCUCCAUGUCCAGAGAGAGGAGUCUGCCUGGGGCUCCGUCACAUGAGGGAAACUGUCCCUUUAAGGCCAGGGUCCUGCUCUGUUCUGAGACUCUUGUUCAGGAGGGUUCAGGGAAGUCUAUAGCUAGGACUGGCUUCAAACCAGGAAUAUCACCCUCUCUAAAGCUUGAGAGAAAAGCCAGAGAUGACUUUAGAUGUCUUCAGAUAAACCCAGGAAGAGCAAGGGACCCUCUAUUUUGAUGGGAAAAUCUAGCGGCUUUCAGGCUUUUUACCAUAUGAGCACCUUUAGGCGUCCCUCUGCAGAACCUCCUGGGUGCCCCCUCCCUCUGUCACCCGCCAAGUUCAUGCCUUCACCCUGACACAGCAGACCAGCCUACCUUUGAUUGGCUGGUUGUCUGCUGUCCCCAGGAUUUCCUGCUUCUGGAGCACUGGGAGCUCAUUGAAGUCGCCCACUGCCAUCUCUCCCAGUCUUGCAUCUCCAUGGCUCUGAUGAUGCAAAGCACCAGCAAGAAGCAGCAGCCAGCUCGAGCCACCACUGUCCAUGGCUCUGUGACUCCUGCUAUGAAGUGCCCUGAGAACAGCCGUCCUUACAGCCCCGGCACCGUUCUCUUUAAUAACAGACCUCAGAAACACACAAGAUUUCCCUGAGAGGAGGGUCCCCACAAGGAAGUGCUGGAUGGUAAAGGUCAAAAUCUUGAUCAGGGGCCAAGAAAGUUGGGGCUUCUCUAGAGGGGCUGCGUAAGAGAUGUGUUUUACUUCCUGGUUUUUAAAUAAUAAGAGUAUUUCUUCGUCUCUUAAACAUUCCCCUAAGAGUCACCUGUACUUUUUUAUAGGGUAAAUCACCAACCGUGAGGCAUCAGGGGGACAGUGAUGACACCAGGCCUAGAAUGAAGGGCAUUCUUGGUGUUACCAAGUAGGCAUGCCCAGACUGCCACAGCUGCCCAGUCAUACUGACGUUUGUCCAGCAUCUGUGGGUAGAGACAGAAUACAGAUAUGAGGGAUCCUGAAUGGAGACACACAUCAAAGAACAUUCCACAGUGCCAGGAAGGAGGGAGUGUCCUAACAGACUCUGUCCAGGGCUUCCCUGCUGGGCUGGAGUGCAGGCAGGGGGCAACAUGGCCGGGUGGGGCUUGGCUUGGCUCUGCAGAUCCCAUGUGCACACAGUAGCUGCUCCUUGCCAGGAUCACUACUGUGGGUUUCAGAAACAGAGUCUGUGCACCUAUAAUGUUUAAAGGAGCAUCAGACAAUCCUGUUAAGUCUCUGUUUAACAGCACAGGAGGAAGCAGGAGGCAGUAGUGACAGAUGAGUGUUCCUUCCCGAGUAGCUCAUCACAAACCCCCAUCUCUCCAUCUUCCUCUGUGUUCAAACUGUGUGCAUGGCGGUUUCCUCCUUCAUACCUCUAAGGAGAGCAGGACGCAGCCUUCAGACACAUGCCUCCAGGGCAGCCCUGCGAAGGCUCCAGGAGGCCGUGCGCCUUGAUAUGAGACUUCAGUGACUUAUCUCCCCAAACCCUGAAGAUAUUUCUCUGCUCCUUCCAAAUUUAUUGUUUAAAUAAAUCGAUGUGUUUAAUGCAAUGCUUUAAAUGUGACUUUAAAUAAAUUGAUGUGUUUAAUGC
RNAcentral lists this long non-coding RNA (2336 nucleotides) under Mus musculus (house mouse). RNAcentral describes it as "RIKEN cDNA A530010L16 gene". Lineage: Eukaryota; Metazoa; Chordata; Mammalia; Rodentia; Muridae. The record is from RNAcentral.